GGAUUAUGAUAAGGACAAUAUCUGAGCAGCCCCUUGAACCUCUCCCAAGCUGAGUAUAGAGACUCCUCCGCUUUUUGUUUGAAGGCGACUAUCUCACUUCUGCUUUU
Molecule: small nucleolar RNA, 107 nt
Organism: Nicotiana attenuata
Lineage: Eukaryota; Viridiplantae; Streptophyta; Magnoliopsida; Solanales; Solanaceae
Rfam family: Plant small nucleolar RNA R71
About the family: R71 is a member of the C/D box family of snoRNAs containing the C (UGAUGA) and D (CUGA) box motifs. Multiple nearly identical copies of this snoRNA have been identified in Arabidopsis, and it is thought to function as a 2'-O-ribose methylation guide for 18S ribosomal RNA.
Source: Rfam